AUUGCCCUAGUAACGGCGAGUGAAGCGGCAACAGCUCAAAUUUGAAAUCUGGCUCUUUUAGAGUCCGAGUUGUAAUUUGCAGAGGGCGCUUUGGCUUUGGCAGCGGUCCAAGUUCCUUGGAACAGGACGUCACAGAGGGUGAGAAUCCCGUACGUGGUCGCUAGCUAUUGCCGUGUAAAGCCCCUUCGACGAGUCGAGUUGUUUGGGAAUGCAGCUCUAAAUGGGAGGUAAAUUUCUUCUAAAGCUAAAUACUGGCCAGAGACCGAUAGCGCACAAGUAGAGUGAUCGAAAGAUGAAAAGCACUUUGGAAAGAGAGUCAAACAGCACGUGAAAUUGUUGAAAGGGAAGCGCUUGCCGCCAGACUUGCUUGCAGUUGCUCACCCGGGCCCUUUUGCCCGGUGCACUCUUCUGCAGGCAGGCCAGCAUCAGUUUGGGCGGUGGGAUAAAGGUCUCUGUCACGUACCUCUCUUCGGGGAGGCCUUAUAGGGGAGACGACAUACCACCAGCCUGGACUGAGGUCCGCGCAUUUUUUGCUAGGAUGCUGGCGUAAUGGCUGUAAGCGGCCCGUCUUGAAACACGGACCAAGGAGUCUAACAUCUAUGCGAGUGUUUGGGUGUCAAGCCCGAACGCGUAAUGAAAGUGAACGGAGGUGGGAACCCGCAAGGGUGCACCAUCGACCGAUCCUGAUGUCUUCGGAAGGAUUUGAGUAAGAGCAUGGCUGUUGGGACCCGAAAGAUGGUGAACUAUGCUUGAAUAGGGUGAAGCCAGAGGAAACUCUGGUGGAGGCUCGCAGCGGUUCUGACGUGCAAAUCGAUCGUCAAAUUUGGGCAUAGGGGCGAAAGACUAAUCGAACUAUCUAGUA
Molecule: ribosomal RNA, 862 nt
Filed under: Pyrenophora dictyoides
Lineage: Eukaryota; Fungi; Ascomycota; Dothideomycetes; Pleosporales; Pleosporaceae
Description: partial large subunit ribosomal RNA
Rfam family: Eukaryotic large subunit ribosomal RNA
Source: RNAcentral